Molecule: long non-coding RNA, 956 nt
Organism: Megalopta genalis
Lineage: Eukaryota; Metazoa; Arthropoda; Insecta; Hymenoptera; Halictidae
Source: RefSeq, a predicted model, not a curated record
GCAGUGUAUUCUAGAGAUUUUCAAAUUAAUUUUAUUGCGAAGUGUCCUCUCUUAACUGAAUUUUGAAGCAGUCUUCAGCAAUAUUGAAGCAGUCUUUAGUAUUUUAUUGAAGCAGUCUGAAGCAAUACUGAAUGCAGUCGUUAUUAUUAAAGAUUGUUAUUUAACAUUAGAUGUUCGAGAAAUAACAUUUUGAAGAAAUCAACUGUAAAAAUUAGAUUUCGAAUUACAAAGUAUAAAUGAAGAUUCGGAAGCGUACAAAUGUUUGACACAGCGUCUUCAUUAAGCGAGGAUACUCUUCAAAAUGAUCAGAAGACAGCUGAUCGUUAUGCAAAAUAAGAAUUUUCCGACUAAAUUGUGUUAAAUACUACUUGCGCUUUAUCAGGACCACACUGCAUGUAAUCUCGAGCAUCGCAGAGAUUUACAACAUCGAAGGAUGGAUUAAACGAAAUUCUCCGGGGAUUAGUUUUCUGUUUUAUAGAUAGAGAUCGCUGAGGAAUCCAGUUCCACAAGGAUGUAACGAUCUUCCUUCGUUUCUUCGAUCGAACUUCAGCAACGCUGAAUCGAUAGAUGCACACUUGUCGCUACAGUGACAAAUACGGCUUUCGAAACUUAAUCUUAAGUCUAGUCGACAAUUUGAACGUUCGUUUUGAUGAGAGGCGAGGAAAUUGCUGUUAAUUACGUGCUGAUAAAUAAUUCCAAAGAGAUCAUAAUUAGCGAAAUGAAAACAUUGGAAUGUGUGCUUCGCAAUUUGUUUUGCAUGAGAAUCAUUAACGCUGAAACUAUCAAAAGAUGAAAUUAUAGUUUGCAUUGCCUUCUAAAAAUGUGAAGACUGCAUUUAUCGAAACAGAGCAAGAUUUUUGCAUCAUUAUAAUGUUAGUCAUAGUGAAAUAGGGGAGAAUCUAUCUUUAAAUAAAUCUUAUCUUAUAAUAAAAAGGCUGUUAUAAUUUUUAUACUAA